GGAGCACGCCGCGUGAGUGAUGAAGGUUUUCGGAUCGUAAAGCUCUGUUGUUAGGGAAGAACAAGUGCCGUUCAAAUAGGGCGGCACCUUGACGGUACCUAACCAGAAAGCCACGGCUAACUACGUGCCAGCAGCCGCGGUAAUACGUAGGUGGCAAGCGUUGUCCGGAAUUAUUGGGCGUAAAGGGCUCGCAGGCGGUUUCUUAAGUCUGAUGUGAAAGCCCCCGGCUCAACCGGGGAGGGUCAUUGGAAACUGGGGAACUUGAGUGCAGAAGAGGAGAGUGGAAUUCCACGUGUAGCGGUGAAAUGCGUAGAGAUGUGGAGGAACACCAGUGGCGAAGGCGACUCUCUGGUCUGUAACUGACGCUGAGGAGCGAAAGCGUGGGGAGCGAACAGGAUUAGAUACCCUGGUAGUCCACGCCGUAAACGAUGAGUGCUAAGUGUUAGGGGGUUUCCGCCCCUUAGUGCUGCAGCUAACGCAUUAAGCACUCC
Molecule: ribosomal RNA, 491 nt
Filed under: Bacillus amyloliquefaciens
Lineage: Bacteria; Bacillati; Bacillota; Bacilli; Caryophanales; Bacillaceae
Description: bacterial SSU rRNA
Rfam family: Bacterial small subunit ribosomal RNA
Source: RNAcentral